UACGGGGGGAGCAAGCGUUGUUCGGAUUUACUGGGCGUAAAGGGCGCGUAGGCGGUCAGCACAAGUCAGUUGUGAAAUCUCCGGGCUUAACUCGGAAAGGUCAACUGAUACUGUGCGACUAGAGUGCAGAAGGGGCAACUGGAAUUCUCGGUGUAGCGGUGAAAUUCGUAGAUAUUCGCAAGAACACCAGUGGCGAAGGCGGCUCACUGGCCCGGUACUGACGCUGAGGUGCGAAAGCGUGGGGAGCAAACAGG
RNAcentral lists this ribosomal RNA (254 nucleotides) under uncultured bacterium. RNAcentral describes it as "partial 16S ribosomal RNA". It matches the Rfam family "Bacterial small subunit ribosomal RNA", at positions 524 to 776 of the family's 1533-position model. The record is from RNAcentral.